UGGGGAAUAUUGCACAAUGGGGGAAACCCUGAUGCAGCGACGCCGCGUGAGCGAAGAAGGCUUUCGAGUCGUAAAGCUCUGUCCUAUGAGAAGAUAAUGACGGUAUCAUAGGAGGAAGCCCUGGCUAAAUACGUGCCAGCAGCCGCGGUAAUACGUAUGGGGCGAGCGUUGUCCGGAAUUAUUGGGCGUAAAGGGUACGUAGGUGGUCUUUCAAGUCGGUGGUUAAAGGCUACGGCUCAACCGUAGUUAGCCUCCGAAACUGGAAGACUUGAGUGCAGGAGAGGAAAGUGGAAUUCCCAGUGUAGCGGUGAAAUGCGUAGAUAUUGGGAGGAACACCAGUAGCGAAGGCGGCUUUCUGGACUGCAACUGACACUGAGGCACGAAAGCGUGGGUAGCAAACAGG
RNAcentral lists this ribosomal RNA (403 nucleotides) under Verrucomicrobiota bacterium. RNAcentral describes it as "Verrucomicrobia bacterium partial 16S ribosomal RNA". It matches the Rfam family "Bacterial small subunit ribosomal RNA", at positions 355 to 776 of the family's 1533-position model. Lineage: Bacteria; Pseudomonadati; Verrucomicrobiota. The record is from RNAcentral.